Molecule: ribosomal RNA, 253 nt
Filed under: uncultured bacterium
Lineage: Bacteria
Description: partial 16S ribosomal RNA
Rfam family: Bacterial small subunit ribosomal RNA
Source: RNAcentral
UACGGAGGGUGCAAGCGUUAUCCGGAUUCACUGGGUUUAAAGGGUGCGUAGGCGGGCAGGUAAGUCCGUGGUGAAAUCUCUGAGCUUAACUCAGAAACUGCCAUGGAUACUAUUUGUCUUGAAUAUUGUGGAGGUGAGCGGAAUAUGUCAUGUAGUGGUGAAAUGCUUAGAUAUGACAUAGAACACCCAUUGCGAAGGCAGCUCACUACACAAUGAUUGACGCUGAGGCACGAAAGCGUGGGGAUCAAACAGG